GGUGAGGCAGCUGAAGACUGCUGCUUGUCGGGGGGUCGCUGAGAGCAGCCCUCGGCAGAGCGGACGCACUCAGCUGGCGAGCGCCGCGUCUGCCAGGUUUCUUCACUUUUUUUUUUUUUUUUAAACAAGGAAGUAACUAAACAUGGCCAUUUUAGGUCAGCUCGUGUUGAGAGCUCUCCCAAGACGUACGUCCUCCAGUACGAUUUUAAGCAAGAACUUUGGAACCUGAAGCAGGCGAGACCCUGCUUCAACUAGAGGAGACCUCAUGGCCCCUCCGUACCUGGCUGGCACUGCACUCUGACCCUUCCCCCUCCAUUCUCAAGCAGAGGUUCUAAAAAGUCUGUAAAUCUGAAAAUAUCUAAAGUCCUGGCUCCAUGUUCAACAGCAAUCCAAAAGGAAGCAGAGAAGCAGCCACUGCAGUGAUUCAACAAUGAGCCGACACAACAGGCAAGAGGAGAAAUGGAAGACUGCAAUUCAGUCCUUGGGGCUGCACUGUGCACUCAACAAUCCGCUCUGCCGAGAUCGUCCAGC
Molecule: long non-coding RNA, 531 nt
Organism: Lepus europaeus (European hare)
Lineage: Eukaryota; Metazoa; Chordata; Mammalia; Lagomorpha; Leporidae
Exons: 3
Source: RefSeq, a predicted model, not a curated record